AUCCUUUUAUAGUUCGUAAGGGUGAUUAUUGGGUGUUCAUGCCAUGGUGUGCCACGUGCCUCCCUCCAACCUCAUUAUAACCUCAGCACAUUACCCGUCAGGCG
Small nucleolar RNA from Mustela putorius furo (domestic ferret), 104 nucleotides. The record is from Ensembl. NCBI's taxonomy places the organism in Eukaryota, Metazoa, Chordata, Mammalia, Carnivora, Mustelidae.